UGGGGAAUAUUGCACAAUGGGCGCAAGCCUGAUGCAGCCAUGCCGCGUGUGUGAAGAAGGCCUUCGGGUUGUAAAGCACUUUCGUCCGGAAAGAAAUGGCUCUGGUUAAUACCUGGGGGUCGAUGACGGUACCGGAAGAAUAAGGACCGGCUAACUACGUGCCAGCAGCCGCGGUAAUACGUAGGGUCCAAGCGUUAAUCGGAAUUACUGGGCGUAAAGCGUGCGCAGGCGGUUGUGCAAGACCGAUGUGAAAUCCCCGAGCUUAACUUGGGAAUUGCAUUGGUGACUGCACGGCUAGAGUGUGUCAGAGGGGGGUAGAAUUCCACGUGUAGCAGUGAAAUGCGUAGAGAUGUGGAGGAAUACCGAUGGCGAAGGCAGCCCCCUGGGAUAACACUGACGCUCAUGCACGAAAGCGUGGGGAGCAAACAGGAUUAGAUACCCUGGUAGUCCACGCCCUAAACGAUGUCAACUAGUUGUUGGGGAUUCAUUUCCUUAGUAACGUAGCUAACGCGUGAAGUUGACCGCCCUGGGGGAGUACGGUCGCAAGAUUAAAA
RNAcentral lists this ribosomal RNA (554 nucleotides) under uncultured bacterium. RNAcentral's name for it is "partial 16S ribosomal RNA". It matches the Rfam family "Bacterial small subunit ribosomal RNA", at positions 355 to 899 of the family's 1533-position model. The record is from RNAcentral.